CGAUUUCGCGUAAUUGUCCGCGGCUCGUCAACGAGCGAGCUGCGCCCCUCCGCGAUCCAGUCAGUGUACCCGUGGCGGUCCUGGAUGCUGGCCGGAGGUUGCCCGUAUACACGUAAUAUUAUUAAUUGCUGUGUGUAUCUUUCGAUACCUGCCAGCGUGUACCGAGUUAUUUUGUACCGAUACCCGAUGUCGGCAUUUUGUAUUCUUGAUGUUUUCGCGUAAUUGUCCGCGGCUCGUCAACGAGCGAGCUGCGCCC
Cinara cedri is the source of this 256-nucleotide non-coding RNA. The record is from the annotation of a GenBank genome assembly. NCBI's taxonomy places the organism in Eukaryota, Metazoa, Arthropoda, Insecta, Hemiptera, Aphididae.